Molecule: ribosomal RNA, 495 nt
Filed under: uncultured bacterium
Lineage: Bacteria
Description: bacterial SSU rRNA
Rfam family: Bacterial small subunit ribosomal RNA
Source: RNAcentral
AAAGGAAUUGACGGGGACCCGCACAAGCGGUGGAUGAUGUGGAUUAAUUCGAUGCAACGCGAAAAACCUUACCUACCCUUGACAUGUCCAGAAGCUCUUAGAGAUUUGAGUGUGCCCGAAAGGGAGCUGGAACACAGGUGCUGCAUGGCUGUCGUCAGCUCGUGUCGUGAGAUGUUGGGUUAAGUCCCGCAACGAGCGCAACCCUUGUCGUUAAUUGCCAUCAUUUAGUUGGGCACUUUAACGAGACUGCCGGUGACAAACCGGAGGAAGGUGGGGAUGACGUCAAGUCCUCAUGGCCCUUAUGGGUAGGGCUUCACACGUCAUACAAUGGUCGGUACAGAGGGUUGCCAAGCCGCGAGGUGGAGCCAAUCCCAGAAAGCCGAUCGUAGUCCGGAUUGCAGGCUGCAACUCGCCUGCAUGAAGUCGGAAUCGCUAGUAAUCGCGGAUCAGCAUGUCGCGGUGAAUACGUUCCCGGGUCUUGCACACACCGCCCGU